GAUUAUUUUCUCCUCUUCAUGCAAUUAUCCAUCUAUUGAAGUUUUACUGUUUCUUUAAGGUUUACCUAAGAUACUCAUCUUCAUCAUCAUUAUUCUCUUGGAUCCAUUAAAUUUCAGCAUCCUCUCUGCUUCCUCUCUCAGCCCAGGUAGAAACAGCCAAGGUGAAUAAGGUUUUUUGCUUUUGUUUUUAACAGGAAUCUGGAGGUUUGAGGUGUGGAGCCUCAUGGUUGAAUUCAAGUUUCAAAGCUUAUAAUGACCCAGAAAAUAUAUUUGCUUAAUGAAUCAAGGAAACUGCAAGAAGGAAACAGCAUGAUUGUGGUGCUUUCAGGACAUUUUUUUUCUAUUUGGAGUUGA
RNAcentral lists this long non-coding RNA (354 nucleotides) under Monodon monoceros (narwhal). RNAcentral's name for it is "lncRNA (ENSMMNG00015006687.1)". Lineage: Eukaryota; Metazoa; Chordata; Mammalia; Artiodactyla; Monodontidae. The record is from RNAcentral.